RNAcentral lists this long non-coding RNA (1329 nucleotides) under Cricetulus griseus (Chinese hamster). RNAcentral's name for it is "lncRNA (ENSCGRG00015037508.1)". The record is from RNAcentral. Lineage: Eukaryota; Metazoa; Chordata; Mammalia; Rodentia; Cricetidae.
GUGACAGACCGAAGAAACUUCCUGUCGAAACCAGGUUGGUGAACCAAUGAGUUUAAUUAGGAUUACUUGCAGGAACAUGGGCAGCUUAUGGAUGUCUAAACCACCAAAGAAUUCUCUCUUCCUGUGUAAUGUUAACAGCCUAUCUAUACCCAGGAAGGGGUGGGGCCUCAUGACCUCCUCCCCAUUCUCCAUGGUGAACCCAAUCUGGUGUGGGUCUCAUGUAGGUGAUCACAGCUACUGAGAGCUCAAGAGAGCAAAGGCCAGUAAGCCUUCACUUCUGCCAAGAUGAUGACUAUGGUAAUUUGGGUUUUGUGUACAUUGUAAUAUAAGGAGGUGCUUCCAUCCUGUGGAUUCCUGCUCAUCUCUGUUUCCUGCUCAUUCCUGCUCUCCUCUGCAUACAGAGGAGUAUCCCAGCUGGCAAAGUCUACAUGUGUCUACAUUCAUGUAUCUGCUUCCUGGAAGACACACCCACCUCCACUCCCAGUCAUCAGUCAUGAUGGGGUUUACAACCAAGUUUAUGAAAGAGAAGGCACCUUACAAUGCUAGAAGGAACAUAUUAAGUUGGCUACAGCUAUGAUUGAAGCACCCCUAAAAGUAUCAAAAUAUGUCAUUCAUGAAGACACAAGCUCUCCAGAGUCUUCACCUUUUAAAGUGCUAAAAAAGAAGUUCUGGACCCAAAACCAUCCAAGUUUUCAUCCAAUUCAGCUUCAAAGUAAAGAAUGAGGUCCUCAGUGUACCAGGAUGGAACCCAGAGCCUUGAAGAUGAUUGGCAAAUGCUCUAUCCAUGAGCUGUACCUGCAGCCCCACAUGUCAAGAUACAGAAUACCUUUGGGGAGUCCUAGAGGGUUUCUGCCCAGCCUAUCAGCCAAGCUCUGAGACUUCUUCCUUGACCAAAAGUUUGCAGAAGGCUGAGUCGCGUGUAUACACUGAGGCAAAAUAAAUAAAUAAAAUGGCAUUAGUAAACAAUCUUCCAAGUAGCCCUUUCACUUUGUAAGGGAGGAGCCCCUGUGACACGAUGAACACAUUAGGGAGGGGCAAGAAUGUGGAAUCCCCAGGCCAUCCUUUACCUGUGCUCAGCUGCCUACAGGUUGGUUUUAACACCCACGUGCAGAAGAGAGCUGUGUAAAAGGAGUCAACACAAUACAGAUCAAACAGUGCCAGCCCUGCCCUGUGGAAAGAGUGCAGAAUUAUCCCCAGGCAGGAUUUGCAUCUGUUUGUGUUGCCUGAUAUGGAGGAUUUGGAGCUGUAGGACUAUACCAGUGGGAAGUCCUGCCCUUCCCCUCUGCCAGGCCCUGCAGGGGGAGCACCCCAUUAGUUUGCUUCUCAGUG